Molecule: ribosomal RNA, 426 nt
Filed under: uncultured bacterium
Lineage: Bacteria
Description: partial 16S ribosomal RNA
Rfam family: Bacterial small subunit ribosomal RNA
Source: RNAcentral
GUGAGGAAUUUUCCGCAAUGGGCGAAAGCCUGACGGAGCAAUGCCGCGUGAAGGAUGAAGGCUUAUGGGUUGUAAACUUCUUUUCUCAGAAAAGAAUUAUGACGGUAUCUGAGGAAUAAGCAUCGGCUAACUCUGUGCCAGCAGCCGCGGUAAGACAGAGGAUGCAAGCGUUAUCCGGAAUGAUUGGGCGUAAAGCGUCUGUAGGUUGUUUAAAAAGUAUUCUGUCAAAGAUUAGGGCUUAACCCUAGAUAGGCAGAAUAAACUUUUAAGCUAGAGUGUGGUAGAGGCAGAGGGAAUUCCCGGUGGAGCGGUGAAAUGCGUAGAUAUCGGGAGGAACACCAAAGGCGAAGGCACUCUGCUGGGCCAAUACUAACACUGAGAGACGAAAGCGAGGGGAGCAAAUGGGAUUAGAUACCCUGGUAGUCC